UACGGAGGGAGCAAGCGUUACUCGGAAUUAUUGGGCGUAAAGAGCGCGCAGGCGGUCGGAUAAGUCGAAUGUGAAAGCCCCCGGCUCAACUGGGGAGGGUCAUUCGAUACUGUUCGACUCGAAGGCAGGAGAGGGAAGCGGAAUUCCCGGUGUAGUGGUGAAAUGCGUAGAUAUCGGGAGGAACACCAGUGGCGAAGGCGGCUUUCUGGCCUGUUCUUGACGCUGAGGCGCGAAAGCCAGGGGAGCAAACGGG
Molecule: ribosomal RNA, 253 nt
Filed under: uncultured bacterium
Lineage: Bacteria
Description: partial 16S ribosomal RNA
Rfam family: Bacterial small subunit ribosomal RNA
Source: RNAcentral